CGAGGCGCCGCCGAACAAGGCCACGGACGCAGAGGACACACGGGCGGGGAAACCCAGGCGAAACGAGGCACGGGCAGGAGAGGCGAGGGCAACGAAGCACCGGAAGAGGCGCCAGCGCCGCGGGCCACGAGGGAGCAAACGACGAAGGGACCGACAGCGGGAAGAACGCCGGGACCAGCCGCAAGGGGCGGAAAGCGCGAACGCACGAGGGCGAACGACACAGAACAGGCGACGAGGAGCCCGGGGGCGCAGCGCCGACGCCACGGAGGAAGGCCCAGCCGGCAACAACAGCCCCAGACAAGGGGCAGACCAGCGGACGACGGCGCGGCGGGAGGCGAACCCGAGAGACAGCGACUAGACGCGGGGCCACGGCAAAGACGGGCGAAAGGAGGAAGCAAGAGCGGACAGCGAAAGAGAAAGGGCGAAGGAGCGAGAGAGGCAAGAGCGAGCACGAGAAAAGCGAUGAGCGCGGCGCCACG
This 479-nucleotide long non-coding RNA is filed under the name Helianthus annuus (common sunflower). Lineage: Eukaryota; Viridiplantae; Streptophyta; Magnoliopsida; Asterales; Asteraceae. The record is from RNAcentral.